AUUGAACGCUGGCGGCAGGCCUAACACAUGCAAGUCGAGCGGAUGAAGGGAGCUUGCUCCUGGAUUCAGCGGCGGACGGGUGAGUAAUGCCUAGGAAUCUGCCUGGUAGUGGGGGAUAACGUCCGGAAACGGGCGCUAAUACCGCAUACGUCCUGAGGGAGAAAGUGGGGAAUCUUCGGACCUCACGCUAUCAGAUGAGCCUAGGUCGGAUUAGCUAGUUGGUGGGGUAAAGGCCUACCAAGGCGACGAUCCGUAACUGGUCUGAGAGGAUGAUCAGUCACACUGGAACUGAGACACGGUCCAGACUCCUACGGGAGGCAGAAGUGGGGAAUAUUGGACAAUGGGCGAAAGCCUGAUCCAGCCAUGCCGCGUGUGUGAAGAAGGUCUUCGGAUUGUAAAGCACUUUAAGUUGGGAGGAAGGGCAGUAAGUUAAUACCUUGCUGUUUUGACGUUACCAACAGAAUAAGCACCGGCUAACUUCGUG
This 484-nucleotide ribosomal RNA is filed under the name uncultured bacterium. Its description in RNAcentral is "partial 16S ribosomal RNA". It matches the Rfam family "Bacterial small subunit ribosomal RNA", at positions 30 to 507 of the family's 1533-position model. The record is from RNAcentral.